AUAAAUUAAAAAAUCUUAAAAAAAAAAAAAAAAAAAAAGACUACUUCCAGCCAGAGCCCACAGUUCUCGUCUGGCUACCAUUUCCCGACUCUCUAGCCACGGUUCCAACUCCAGGUUACAAGGAAUAGAAAAUGGCAAAGAAAAAGAGUGACUUUCAAGGCCUUGGUCUAGGUGGGACGAUACUGAGCGUGAGUGUGAGAGAAAGACAGACUACGUAAGAUCAUAUGCAGGGAGGUAAAAAGAGAGGGAGAUAAAGAGCAAGACUUUCUUCAUUAAUCAUUCGGGCAAUGUCCUGGAUAUUAAAUUUCAGCUUACAUUCAAGAGCAGGGGCCAUUCCCAAGCUAUGGAAUAACUAUGAAGCCAGAUCCCUUCUAACAAUAUGCACGCGGUACUAAUAGUUUCCAUCUUCAAAACUCCAGAAUGAAAGCGAUGAAGUUGACGUUUUAAAAGUGUUUACUCUUCAUAUCCAUUAAAACAUUCAGAACAACUUCCACCUAGCCCUUGGCUGCUCAUCCACCAGGAAACUCAUCUGCUUUUGUCUGGCUUGGUGUCAAUGCUCCAUCGACUCUGAACAAACGGCCCCUGAGUCACAGAUGUCUUGUGUCAAACACCUGUUAAUGCUGGCAGGCACCAAAGGGGUCAUGUCAAAGCGAGCUAAAGAAAAUGACAAAAGGAUGGUAAUCAUUUUGGAUGCGAAUAUACCCAUAAAGAUCUUUGAACCGUACAAAAAUUUCCAAGUUUGUCUAACAAUGGCUUGAUUAGAAGGAUACAUAAAAAUGAAACCAGAAUUGCUACUUAGAAGUGCUUCGAUUGCAGUCUAUGUGUUCUACUUUGUAGAACCAUUUCCUGAGCCUUAUCUUGGAAGAAAAAGCAGGAUGAUAAGGAGGAACAUUUCAAUCCAGCUAAGAACGUUUAAAGAAAGUUCAUUCAAACAAAGAACAUUUAUUCUGAAAACCGGAGACAGUAUAAUACACGCAGAGGCUCCAGCUACAAUGGCACCCAACUACGGCCUGGGGCAUGGAGAACUCUUUACCAGCACUCAGUCUGGGGCCUAGGACCCAAAAGACACUGGAGUUCCAGCAUC
This is a long non-coding RNA of Neogale vison (American mink), 1084 nucleotides long. RefSeq lists it as uncharacterized. The record is from RefSeq and is a predicted model, not a curated record. NCBI's taxonomy places the organism in Eukaryota, Metazoa, Chordata, Mammalia, Carnivora, Mustelidae. The transcript is spliced from 3 exons.